Molecule: ribosomal RNA, 253 nt
Filed under: uncultured bacterium
Lineage: Bacteria
Description: partial 16S ribosomal RNA
Rfam family: Bacterial small subunit ribosomal RNA
Source: RNAcentral
UACAGAGGCCCCAAGCGUUACUGAGAAUCACUGGGUUUAAAGGGUGCGUAGGUGGCGCGUUAAGUCCGUUGUGAAAUCCCUUGGCUCAACCAAGGAACUGCUUCGGAUACUGGCGUGCUUGAGGCUAGUAGAGGUCACUGGAACUGACGGUGGAGCGGUGAAAUGCGUAGAUAUCGUCAGGAACGCCAAUGGUGAAGACAGGUGACUGGGCUAGUUCUGACACUGAGGCACGAAAGCGUGGGGAGCGAACGGG